GACAUGCUGCUUGGACUGCGCCUGCGCCCGGGGAGGGAGGGUGUUGUCUACAGCGUCAGUCACCGCGUCACCAGGCAGUCUCAGCCCGCACGGGCCGCCCCCCAAGACUCUCAGUCCCGGCACAGUCACUGGCAGAUCUGCGACGGGCACCACCUGCUCCAGCGGCAGCAGCCGGCCCUCUACCGGGACGAGCCCCAGGCGCCCGGGAGGGCAGCCAGCCUCGGAGUGCCCCUCCUGCCCCUCAGCCUCAGCCUUCUGACCUUCCCACAGGCCAUCCUGCGUGUCUCGGUCACUCGGUGUUUUUGGCUUGGCUUUGUGAUCUGUACCUGCCAUGGAGAACAUCAGUAAACACGAGUCACAAUCAAGAUCUCUGGCGAAAGGCCUGGGGUGGGAGGAGCCUGCGAUGGGAGCUGUUUCCCAGAGAUUCAGCCCACCUUGCCUUGCAAGCGCAAGGUUCCAAGUUCGAUCCCCGGUACCAAAAAAAAAAAAAAAAUCCACCCCUUUACAGUACAGGAGUAAGUGUUCUUAGGGUAUUUGCAAUGUGGAGCAACCAUCACCACUGUCUGUCCCCCGCACUUCCGUGGCCCCACAAGGAAGCCGCAUCCGGCUCCCAGAAGGCACCACCCUCUGUCUUUGUGACCUGCGCUGUGGACCCCAUGCGGUGUUCGCCCUCGGCAGCAGCACCCCUGGGCCGCAGUGGCUGUAUGGACUCGGAGUGUGUGGUCCUGUCUUGCUGACCUUCCCCCUGUUCGGGGGAGCGGGUCGGGCUGUGUGUGGGGUGAUGCGGUGGCCGUGGCCCCCUAGUCCAGGUUGGGUCUCAGACCGCUGGCCCUGGGCGUGCAGGCAUCCUCUGGAAGCUUGGCGCUGGGCUCCACAAGAGGGCGCUGUCUGAAAGUCUUCCGUGCGCUGGGAGUGACGCAGCCGUUCAGGAGGGUUUGGGGCGCGUGCUCCUGUCUUCCCAAACAUCUAGAGCUCAAGGAGUGCAGAAAAUUCUGACCUCCCUACCCACCCGACCACCCAACCACCCAGCCACCCAGCACCCACCCACCUCCUCCCACUGUCCUCACCAUUUAGCGGGCAGGGACCAAGUAGCCCAGCCCUGUCCACGAUUCCUCUGUGAUCAUGGAAAGCCACAUGUGGUCACUGAGGGAAACUGAGGCUCAGGGAGGUUAAGGAACUUGCCCAGGGUCAUGGGGCUCACAUACAGCUGAGGCAGCAUUCGAACCCAGGCCUUGUGGUGCAGGGCCCAGGCUUUACAUGCGCCACGGUCUCAGGUCAGGUCCGGGUGGGUGAGGGACAUUCAGCGGCCAGCAGGGAAGGAGAAGGCUCCUUGUCCCCCUGGACUGGCCCCUGUGGUGUCCGAGCUCCUCAGCGCUUCCAGGCUGGGGCUGAGAGCCUGUUAUUGUGCUUUUGGCAUGGUGGGCACCAGCCUGGCCAUUGCAUAGGCAGCACACAGGGCACCAGGUCACCGGCCCGUGCCCCUCCUCAGGCUGAGAGGGACAGAAGGGCACAUCCGGGUGGGGAUCACCUGGCCGCAUUCUUCGUGCUUCCCCAGUCUCUGCUUCUAUAGGCUGAUCUGAUGGAGGAGGCCUUGACCCAGCCUCUGAGCCACACCCCAGGAGACUGGCUUCUCCUGGCCCCACCCAGCUGCCACCCAGCUGCUUCCUUGGGCAGCGAAGGGCCACUCCACCUUCUCUCUCCAUCCCAGGGGCGGAGGAUGUCAUCUGCAGUCUCGGCCCUCUGGAUCAAAACACGAUGCUUGCCCUUCCCAGGAUGGGGAACAGCGCCUGCACUGCUGCGGUGCUGUGUCCCCACCACACCUGUGGUGUCGCAUUUAUGACACAAGUGUUUCCCUCUCGCACCCCUGAGAAAGGUCACUGGCUUUUAGCCCCCAGUGAGUGUCUUUCCAUGUCAGAAGCAGACACUCAGCAGCCCCAGUGCAACCCAGAGCAGAGAGCCCUUCCUGCUCGGGUUCCCUGGGCCUCCUGAGCCGAGGGCCUGGCCCAGAGAUGCCUGGGCCCUGCCGGGCUGUCCUGGCACCAGUGCAAUUGUAGGAGCAGGUUUAUGUGUCGCUUGCGUCAAGGGCUCCUUCCUUGCAGGGAGGCCCAGCCCUAACUGGAGAGUGGAAGUUGGGGUCCUGCUCUCUUCCUGGGAGGUGAUCUCUGGCCUGGCUCUUGGGCGCAGCAGCUCCCUAGGGGCCCACCCGCCCGUGUCACUCACCAAGGUCCAGCGCUGUGGCAGUGGGGAGCUGCACCGUGAAUGGCCAUGAUGUCACUUGGGACCUGCCCAGUUGGCCAAAUCCCACCUGGUUGUGCUGCCCUCCACUGCCCUUGGCCUCUGUUUGCUGAACCCCUCUCAGCACCCGCUUUGGAGAGGAGGUGCUUGUUCCUCAGCUGCAAUUGCUGCCGAGUGGAGUGGGGUGCUGUCUCUUCUCAGUGUCCACAGGAGGAAGAGACGGCAGGGGGAGCUUGAUGGCCAUGUGCAUUGUCAGUGUGGCUGGAGCAGGCAGGAAAGUCUGGAGGGGUCCUGGAAGGGAUGAGGGGACCCCUUAGGGCACCCUGCCUCUGCUCUGCCCAGCUGGGCUGGCAGCUCCGGGCCAGUGGGGUGGGGAGGCUUCUGCUGGUUGCAUUGUGGCUAUCCUAGCCUGGCCCUGCCAGCCUGGGAGCCCUUGUGCAUGAGUGAUGGGAGCGGGCGUGUCCAUGCUGUGCUCCAUAGGGGUAUCGGACGCUGUGGCUGUCUGGGAAGUGGGCUGUUUGAGGCUACUUAUCCAUAAAUUGCCACUGGGUCAGGACUCUUGGUCGUAAAGAACAGGAAAGCUAAUUCAUGUUGACUUAAGCUAGGAGGGAAUUUGUUAAUUUACAUAAUGGAAAAGUCUAGGGCCCUGAUGGCUUCAGGGGCAGCUUGAGCCAGGGAUGCAGACAGUGUUGGCAGGACCCAGCUUCUCCUCACAUCAUGCCUCUGCGGCCCUCUAUACCACUGGCAGGCAGGUAGUUUUGAAAAAUAGCUGUGAGGAUCUCUGGGUUUGCACCAAAGUAGUGCCAAUUCAGUAGAAAAAAGAGACACUCUUUCCCAUUGUUUCCCACCACUAAGAAGGGAUCUGGAGUUGGCUGAUUGGCCUUGUUGGGGCCACCAGCACUGUGGCUGAGGGGAGGUGCUGCUCUCAGGCACCUUGCAGCCCUGCUGCUGUGGGACAGUCGUCCCGAGCUUAGUGACUUAGAGGGUCCUCUGGUUUCUUUAGCUGGGGAGUCUGCAGUGUGGGCGGUGCCCAGCUGAGAAGUCCCCUCUGCCCCAUGUGGCAUCAGCUGAGCCAGCCCAGGCUGGGGCUGAUGAUUCCGUCAAGAUGGUGAAGUGGGUUAGCUGUCAGGCCAGGCCUGGCGCUGUGUCUGUGGCCUUCCCUGCAGGCUGGGUGUCCCUGGGCACGGCCGUGAGUGUCCCAGGAGACCGGCAGUGGCAGGCUGACCUGCAUCUCUUCUGCUGUGGUCUACGGGCCAAGCCACUCCAGAACCCAGGCACCAGGGAAGGGGAUGCAGGCCCUCUCUAGAUAGCGGACCAGAUUGGGCUCUCCGUGAGGCAGAGGUGGCCCUCCGUCCUCAGGGUGAGGCCCGAGAAUGGCGGUGGGGUCUCCUCUUGGCAGAGGCCAAUUUCAGACUCAGGAGAAAAAGCCUCGGGAGGCAGAGGUGCUGCACAGUCUCCAGCUCCACUCUUACGGCCUCGUGAGCGUCCUGGUGCCCAGCACCUGGGGUUGACUCUGAGAGGUGAGGACACUGCAGGACCUCACAGAGAAGCCCAGGGGCUCCCCCUGGGCAGCACCCUGUUCUGGGGACUUGGAUGUCCAGGCUUCACGCACCUUGACCCGCCCGGCCUGGACCUGCCACAGGAGGAGCCGUGGACGUGGCCCUGCAUGGAUGUGGCUCAGACUCCUCCAGCAUGGUCUCCACGCACCUGUGUGUGCAGCCCCGCACCCCUGAAGGGACAGAUGGGGCACAGGACUGCAGCCUCUCAGAAGUGUGGGGAGUGCAUUGGUCAGGGCAUGGGGGAGGUUGUGGGCAGGCCUCCUGGUGGCCGGGAUGAGCAAAGAGCGGGGAGCAGCACCUGAGGGGUGGGGUGUGGGGCUACAGGAUCUUUCUGGGGCUAACAGUGGUUUGUUUGCUUAUUUAUUGAUUUGUUUCUGCAGUGCUGGGGAUGAGCCCAGAGCCUUACACUGAGCUACAUCACCAGCCCUUUCAUUUUUUUUUCUGAGACAGAGUCUUGCUGACUUGCCCAGGUGGGAUUCGAACUUGUGAUCCUCCUACCUUAGCCUCCCAGAGUGCUGGGAUCACAGCUGUGCUCCACAAGCCCAUCUGACUGUGUUUAAAAUGCCUGGCGAUUUGGAGCAGGAGGAGGUCCUGAGCUUUCCUCUGAAUUGAUUCUCAGGACUACCGAGCACCUCACAAGAGGACCCCCUCUCUCCGGGGAGAGCCCCGCCCCUGUGCUUUGCUUGGGGACCCUCAGGUCCCUUCCUGUUGGAAGUGGUUCCCAUAUUUGACAGGCUUCUGGACAGAGGCAUGGCUGGAGCUCUUGGGUGUGGGGUGACCUGCUUUCCUUCUGGGGAUUGGCUGGCUCAUUUGUCCUGGGAACAGCAGGGCCACCCGCCCCAGGCCCGCCUGUGGUGCUGGCCGAGCAGCUGUGUGCUCUCACCAGUGCCAGACAUGGGAUCAGAGAGGUCACUGGUAGCUGCACAGUGGAAGGCAGCAAAACGCUUCCCAGCCAAGGGACAGAGCAGUCUGCAUGUGGAGCCAGCAGGCGAGUGGAGGGUCACUCAGCAGCUCUGGGCCUGCUGGGCCCUUGGGGUCACCCACACAGUUCCAGAUGUGCUGCUGACUUCUGGCUGCAGCAGGUGGACAGUGUCCAGGGUCUGAGAAACACAUGCUAGAGGACUCCAUUGCACCAGCAGCUUCCUGUAAGCGACAGGUGUUUCCUUCCCCGCAGAACUCAGCCACUGUCCCUUCCCUCAGAGGCCCUUCCUUCAGCCUUCAGAGGUUAGGACUGGAUGUCUUCCGGAGGUUGUUACCCUGCAGCCCACACUCCCUGAGGAGCCUGCCAAAGAGCCUGAUGGCACAGUCACCUACGUGACCCUUCUGGAAGGUCCUGAAGCUGUGAGGCAGUGCCGAGCCCGGGGCUGCCCCUUGUCAGGAGGCCAGGACAGUCAGACACUGGGCCUCUGUUACCGCAGAGGACAGGCCAUGAAGGCCAGACCUCGGAGGACCCGGCUGCUGACGCUUGGUGACCACAGCUGUCUCUGCCACAUGCACCUUGCCGCCUGAACUCGAUGCAGUCCAGACGGGAGCUGUUUCCCUGUGCCUGCUUUCAAGUCAGGAGAGUGAGCGGGGUGUGGGGGUGCACCCCUGUGGUGCCAGCACCCUGGGGGGCUGAGGCAGGAAGGAUCACAAGUUCUAGCCUGGCCUGACCAGUUUAGAGACUUAGUGAGACCCUGUCUCAGAAAAUAAAAAUGGAGCUCAUUGUGAAGGCCCUGGGUUCAAUGUCCAGGACCACAGGGAAAAAAGAGGGGGAGAGGGGAGGGAGGAGGAGAGAAAAGCUCCCCGAGAGCUCCAGCGCUUGUUUCCUGCCACGUAGCUCCUCAGAACCAGAGCUGGGGGCCCAGCCCACGUCUGAAUGGGAGGCUGGCUGUACCCGCAGGCAGCACUACCUCACACCUGUCGUACCUGGGCAGCCCUGGAGGGAGGCUUUGCCCAGAGAGGUUUAGCCACUUCUCUGGUCCCAGAUGCCUCAUGUGGCCUCCGAGGCCCCAAUCCCAAGAAGUCCUGUCAGGAGCUUUGCUGCCCGUGAUGGCUCAGGUCCCACACUGCAUCUGGUAGCUCCAUCCUGAUGGUGGUUCAUGGGCUCCCAGGCCCUCCCCUCUGGGUCUGCCAGACUCGGCUGUGCUCGGUGGGCUCUGUCUGCUGAGACCCCGUCUCCACCCCUGGACAAACUCACCCAGUGGGCCUUGUGUGCCCCUGCUUGGCAUGGUGAGGGAGGGAGUGACUUCCGGAGCCCGGCUCUCCCCAUGCGCGGCUGGGGUCCCAGCGGCUCCUGUGCCCUCGGGGCUCAGUCUGUGUCCUGAGGGACAGGGGUGUGUGUGGGGGCCUGUGUGGCCUGCACCUGACCCGCCUGCUGCCCCAGCCCUGCCCUGUGCCCACUGCAGGCCCUGUCUGCUUCCCAGGACUCUUGGCUGACCCGCAUUGCCCCAAGGUGGCCUCAGUGCCAGGGCUGGGGCAGGGAGUGCCCAGGAUGGCUCUGUGAUCAGCUGGUGAUGUCUGCCGCAGGCCCGGGCUGGGCUUGUGUGCGAGCCUUGUGGGUCUUCAUCGCUCCCCAGUGACUCCCCGGUGUUUGGCACAGGGUGGCGUGGGUAUCCACUGUUUCCUCUGAGGGGUGUCACGCUGGGGGGUUGGAGAGCCCACCAGAGGGACGGGAAACUUCCUGUCCUCUCUCUUGCUGUUUCCAAGGGAGACCGCCCACUGAGGGCACCGUUUUCAUGUUAACACAACAGACCAGGUCGAACCGGAGCAGGGAAGGUGCUGGCACCCGGAGGAGGCCAAGCCUGGCAUUCCACCUCGGGGAGCAUUCUGUUGCCUCAGCACCUGCCAAGCAAGUGUGUCCUUUCCAGACAUCCCACACUCGGGGAGAUCCCAGCAUGCCAGCCCCACCAACCCUGCCCACUGCUCCCCCAGGUUCCACUUUACUCAUCCAACAGAUUUGUGAAUCCGACCUUUUUAAAAAGGGAAAGAUUUAAAAACUGUGUGCACAGCGCGUCCGCUCUCUUCUGUGUGCCCUGCUCCUGUACGUGCAUAGUUGCCUGGGGGCUUGGGCCACAGCCUGGGGCACAGUGUCCUUCGGAGCUGCUUUCUGGGCAGGGCGCUGUGCCUGGGUAUCAGGCCAGGGCUCCUGGUGCUGCCACAUCGGCAUUUCAAAUGCUGAGACUGGCUGGUGGCCCUGGAGGGUCAGCCCCACCCAAAGGCUCAAAGCGUCCACUGUGCCUUGGUCCAUUAUCUCACAGGCUGUGAAAUAGGCUGACAGAGAUUUUGAAUUAUGAACGUCCAUACAGGGACUUCAUUUACUUCUUUUUUCUUUUGGUACUGGGGACCGAACUCGGGACCUUGCACUUACAAGGGAGGCAGCGGAACCACUGAGCUAAAUCCCUGGUCCGUUUUUUUUUUUUUUUGGUACCUCGUUUACUUCUCAUAGCAACCCUGAGGUUAUUGUCUUGCAGCUUUUCAGAGUAGGUCUGCCAUGGCUUCGCAGCACCACAUGGUCCUGCAUGGGGUUCCAAGGCCACAGGGGCCAAUGGGGCUGCGGUAGCAGGGAUCUGUUCUGAGACCCUGAUUCUCUGUGAACAGUUUUUUUUUUUUGGUACUGGGGAUCGAACUCGGGACCUUGCACUUUUGAGGCAGGGGCCAAAACCACUGAGCUAAAUCCCCGGCACCGUGAAC
This is a non-coding RNA of Heterocephalus glaber (naked mole-rat), 7466 nucleotides long. Lineage: Eukaryota; Metazoa; Chordata; Mammalia; Rodentia; Bathyergidae. The record is from RefSeq and is a predicted model, not a curated record.